GAUGAAGAACGUAGCGAAAUGCGAUAAGUAAUGCGAAUUGCAGAAUUUCCGUGAGUCAUCGAAUCUUUGAACGCACAUUGCGCCCACUGGUAUUCCGGUGGGCAUGCCUGUUCGAGCGUCAUUAUCCUCCCUCAAACCCCGGGUUUGGUGUUGGACCCAAGUUGUGUGAACAACUGGUCUCAAAGACAAUGACGGCGUCCGUGGGACCCUCGGUGCAACGAGCUUUUAGGAGCACGCGCCGAGUUGCAAGGACCUUCCGGGCCGGUCUCCUUUACUAUUUUACAAGGUUGACCUCGGAUCAGGUAGGAAUACCCGCUGAACUUAAGCAUAUCAAUAAGCGGAGGA
RNAcentral lists this unclassified non-coding RNA (345 nucleotides) under soil metagenome. RNAcentral describes it as "partial contains 5.8S ribosomal RNA, internal transcribed spacer 2, and large subunit ribosomal RNA". The stretch from base 1 to 121 matches the Rfam family "5.8S ribosomal RNA", at positions 35 to 154 of the family's 154-position model. The record is from RNAcentral.